RNAcentral lists this transfer RNA (73 nucleotides) under Enterobius vermicularis (human pinworm). It matches the Rfam family "tRNA". Rfam says of the family: Transfer RNA (tRNA) molecules are approximately 80 nucleotides in length. Lineage: Eukaryota; Metazoa; Nematoda; Chromadorea; Rhabditida; Oxyuridae. The record is from Rfam by way of RNAcentral.
CAAAUGACAGCUGAGUCGUGAGAGCGCUAUACUGAAGAUCUGAAGGUCGCCGGUUCGAUUCCUGCUCGUUUCA